This 456-nucleotide ribosomal RNA is filed under the name uncultured bacterium. Its description in RNAcentral is "bacterial SSU rRNA". It matches the Rfam family "Bacterial small subunit ribosomal RNA", at positions 28 to 524 of the family's 1533-position model. The record is from RNAcentral.
GAUGAACGCUGGCGGUAUGCCUAACACAUGCAAGUCGUACGAGAGUUUUUAACUCAAGUGGCGGACGGGUGAGUAACACGUGAGAAUUUGCCUUUAGGAGGGGGAUAACAGAGUGAAAACGCUGCUAAUACCCCAUAUGCUUUCGAGUGAAAUGGAUUUAUUCGCCUAAAGAGAAGCUCGCGGCUGAUUAGCUUGUUGGUAAGGUAAUGGCUUACCAAGGCGACGAUCAGUAUCUGGUUUGAGAGGACGAUCAGACACACUGGAACUGAGACACGGUCCAGACUCCUACGGGAGGCAGCAGUGGGGAAUUUUCCGCAAUGGGCGAAAGCCUGACGGAGCAAUACCGCGUGAGGGAUGACUGCCUAUGGGUUGUAAACCUCUUUUCUCAGGGAGGAAAUCAAUGACGUUACCUGAGGAAUAAGCAUCGGCUAACUCCGUGCCAGCCGCCGCCGUAAC